RNAcentral lists this ribosomal RNA (217 nucleotides) under uncultured Rhodocyclaceae bacterium. RNAcentral's name for it is "partial 16S ribosomal RNA". It matches the Rfam family "Bacterial small subunit ribosomal RNA", at positions 1168 to 1382 of the family's 1533-position model. The record is from RNAcentral. Lineage: Bacteria; Pseudomonadati; Pseudomonadota; Betaproteobacteria; Rhodocyclales; Rhodocyclaceae.
GGGAAGUGGGGAUGACGUCAAGUCCUCACUUGGCCCGUUAUGGUAGGGCUUCACACGUCAUACAAUGGUCGGUACAGAGGGUUGCCAACCCGCGAGGGGGAGCUAAUCCCACAAAGCCGAUCGUAGUCCGGAUCGCAGUCUGCAACUCGACUGCGUGAAGUCGGAAUCGCUAGUAAUCGUGGAUCAGCAUGUCACGGUGAAUACGUUCCCGGGUCUU